ACUGACAUGGAGCGUGGGUGCUUGGGUGUGCCUUUUCUCUUAGUUAUUAUGAAACAGUAUACAAGUGUGCAAAUGAGGCUAUGCUUUCUCUCUUAAUUUCUAUCCUCCUAAACACAUUCAGUUAACAGGCUCAUUUAAAAUCUUUGCUACAGGGAUGACAGUGCGUUUAUGGAAUUAUGUAUCAACAUUCUCAAAUUUGUCUGGCGAGAAGCUUCGUCAGAUUUAUUCUAAACUUAAACAGGAGCAACACGUAGAAGCAAGGGUAGGACCUUCACAAUUUAAUGGUUCUGCACUGGGGCAUCCAACGCCAGGGUUUAUACCCCGAGGUUUAGAUGUGGCAAAAUUUGAAGCAUGGAAACGAAGGAAAAGAGCUGAAGGUGAUGGUCAUUCCCAAGUUCAGCCCCAACAGCAAAGACCUUUGACUAAUGGGACACGUAAACAGGAGCAACACGUAGAAACAAGGGUAGGACCUUCACAAUUUAAUGGUUCUGCAUCCGGGCAUCCAACGCCAGGGUUUAUACCCCGAGGUUUAGAUGUGGCAAAAUUUGAAGCAUGGAAACGAAGGAAAAGAGCUGAAGCCGAUGGUCAUUCCCAAGUUCAGCCCCAGCA
This 609-nucleotide long non-coding RNA is filed under the name Nicotiana benthamiana. Its description in RNAcentral is "long non-coding RNA (NBEN_LNC032464)". The record is from RNAcentral. Lineage: Eukaryota; Viridiplantae; Streptophyta; Magnoliopsida; Solanales; Solanaceae.